Molecule: long non-coding RNA, 1237 nt
Organism: Oncorhynchus keta (chum salmon)
Lineage: Eukaryota; Metazoa; Chordata; Actinopteri; Salmoniformes; Salmonidae
Exons: 3
Source: RefSeq, a predicted model, not a curated record
AGCUACAAUAAUCAUUUACAACAUUAACAAUGUCUACACUGUAUUUCUGAUCAAUCUGAUGUUAUUUUAAAUGGACAAAAAAAAAGGAUUUUCUUAUAAAACAAUUACUUUUCUAAGUGGCCUCAAACUUUUGAACGGUAGUGUAUAUAGCACAUUUCUUACAGCAUAAACAUUUCAAGGUGUUCAAAGUCAUGCAUUGAAAGGAAUGUGGCACUUAACAUCCUUCCUCUUUGCAGGUCUCUAUAGGUGACCAGGGGAUUCUCUAUACCAUAUGCAAAUGCCUCCGUGGAGCUCAUAAGUGUAGCCAUACAGCCUAUUUUGGCGGUACACAAUACAAUCUGUCCUGAAAGCAACUGAAGAGGAUCUUCAGUCACUAAGGAACCAUUUCCGGGACAGGUUAAGUGGAAUGGCCUGUCUCCUUGAACCUGAGCCAGAACAACCGCCACCCUCCCUGUCAUCCCUGUCUGUACCAGACAUUGUUAAAGUACAAGGGCACCCGGGGAAUGCAGGCAUCCUGGCUGGCAUGGCGCUGUUGGUGGAGCAGCAACAGGCAGCAGGGAUUAAACGUGUUCCAAGCAUUUCAUGGAUGUAGCAAAGCAGUGGAACAUUGAAAACACUUUACACAGAACCAGAUUGUAGCUGCGAGAUAUUUGCCUUUUGAACACCCUGCACCGCUCACCGUCUCCAAAGGUCCAUCACAGUGUCCCUACAGAACAGCAGGUUUGAAAAUGCCCUAGCCAAAUGCUGAAGAAUUGUUGGGCAUUUCAAACACAGCACACCUGACACUGCAGAGCUAGGACAACAGCAAGUUGCAAAUAGGCAAAAGAAUGAGUAACUCGUUCAAGAUGUCACAAAAAGAUGGAAUUCCACACAGGAAUUGGUCAAGUGUGUCCACAGAAACCAACAACCACAGAGAUGCUCUGGCCCAACAAAAAACAAACUUCACCAUGCAAACCACAGCUGAAUUGGAGAAACUGCAGAAGUUGUAGGCGCUGCUGGAGCCCUGAAGGCUUGAUCUGCUGUAGUCUCGGACCACACUGGCACAGGAUGUCCAUGCACCGGAUUGUCUGAGGGAUGCACUCCUAUUGGACUGGUAAUCAAUGAGACAUUUGUCAACAGUCUGGAUCUUCCUCUUACCUUUUCUUGGAAAUACAGGGCCAUUUCUCUUUCCACCGGAAAACGGAAGCUGCAGACCAAAGUGUUGUCACUGUGUUUUUCGUCCGUCCAUCUGAAAGAC